CGGCGGACGGGUGAGUAACGCGUGGGUAACCUACCCUGUACACACGGAUAACAUACCGAAAGGUAUGCUAAUACGGGAUAAUAUAUUUGAGAGGCAUCUCUUGAAUAUCAAAGGUGAGCCAGUACAGGAUGGACCCGCGUCUGAUUAGCUAGUUGGUAAGGUAACGGCUUACCAAGGCGACGAUCAGUAGCCGGCCUGAGAGGGUGAUCGGCCACAUUGGAACUGAGACACGGUCCAA
This 238-nucleotide ribosomal RNA is filed under the name uncultured bacterium. RNAcentral's name for it is "partial 16S ribosomal RNA". It matches the Rfam family "Bacterial small subunit ribosomal RNA", at positions 96 to 334 of the family's 1533-position model. The record is from RNAcentral.